Molecule: ribosomal RNA, 767 nt
Filed under: uncultured bacterium
Lineage: Bacteria
Description: bacterial SSU rRNA
Rfam family: Bacterial small subunit ribosomal RNA
Source: RNAcentral
AUUCCAAGCUUGUUUGAUCCUGGCUCAGGAUGAACGCUGGCGGCGUGCCUAAUACAUGCAAGUCGAGCGAGGUUCUUCGGAACCUAGCGGCGGACGGGUGAGUAACACGUGGGUAACCUGCCUGUAAGACUGGGAUAACUUCGGGAAACCGAAGCUAAUACCGGAUACUUUCGAGCAUCGCAUGAUGCUUGAUGGAAAGACGGCUUCGGCUGUCACUUACAGAUGGACCCGCGUCGCAUUAGCUAGUUGGUGAGGUAACGGCUCACCAAGGCGACGAUGCGUAGCCGACCUGAGAGGGUGAUCGGCCACACUGGGACUGAGACACGGCCCAGACUCCUACGGGAGGCAGCAGUAGGGAAUCUUCGGCAAUGGGCGAAAGCCUGACCGAGCAACGCCGCGUGAGCGAUGAAGGCCUUCGGGUCGUAAAGCUCUGUUGUUAAGGAAGAACAAGUACGAGAGUAACUGCUCGUACCUUGACGGUACUUAACGAGAAAGCCACGGCUAACUACGUGCCAGCAGCCGCGGUAAUACGUAGGUGGCGAGCGUUAUCCGGAAUUAUUGGGCGUAAAGCGCGCGCAGGCGGUUUCUUAAGUCUGAUGUGAAAGCCCACGGCUCAACCGUGGAGGGUCACUGGAAACUGGGAAACUUGAGUGCAGAAGAGGAAAGCGGAAUUCCACGUGUAGCGGUGAAAUGCGUAGAGAUGUGGAGGAACACCAGUGGCGAAGGCGGCUUUCUGGUCUGUAACUACGCUAGGCGCAAAGCUGACC